AUGGCUCGCGGCGAUCAUCAAGACGAUGAUGAUGAUUUCAUGGAGUUACCGCAACAGAAUCGUGCAACUGGACGGACAAAAGAUGGCGAUGAGAAGAAGAAACGUUAUCGCAAUAGGGCUUCACAAGAACGCCUGACUAUAUUGACCGAGGGCUUUACUGACGAGCAGAAGGGAGCUGCUGCUGAGAUGGGGAUGCAGGCUCUGAUGGAUGUUCGGUGCAAGAACCUAGUGAACCCUGUAUGCGACUGGCUCGGUGAGAUUUACGAUACUGCCUCCAGGGAAUUUGUGAUUCCGGGACGUGGAAGACUGCCGUUGGACGAGGAAUCCGUGUUCUGCACUUUAGGUGUGCCCCGUGGAGAAAUCGAAGUCCCGUACAAGAGCAUGAAAACCCAUGGUGAGGUUUUCAAGAUGAAGCUACUCAUGUACUCGAUCUCAGCUGUCUUUGCGCCUACCACAUCUCUUCGCCCAAACAACAAGUGCUUCCUGAUUCUUACGACGAGUGAAGCUGAAAGACGUGAAGAAUAUGAAUUGGUGUAA
RNAcentral lists this ribosomal RNA (537 nucleotides) under Triticum aestivum (bread wheat). Its description in RNAcentral is "partial small subunit ribosomal RNA". Lineage: Eukaryota; Viridiplantae; Streptophyta; Magnoliopsida; Poales; Poaceae. The record is from RNAcentral.